RNAcentral lists this ribosomal RNA (255 nucleotides) under uncultured bacterium. Its description in RNAcentral is "partial 16S ribosomal RNA". It matches the Rfam family "Bacterial small subunit ribosomal RNA", at positions 524 to 776 of the family's 1533-position model. The record is from RNAcentral.
UACGUAGGGUGCGAGCGUUAAUCGGAAUUACUGGGCGUAAAGCGUGCGCAGGCGGUGAUGUAAGACCGAUGUGAAAUCCCCCGGGCUUAACCUGGGAACUGCAUUGGUGACUGCAUCGCUCGAGUAUGGCAGAGGGGGGUAGAAUUCCACGUGUAGCAGUGAAAAUGCGUAGAGAUGUGGAGGAAUACCGAUGGCGAAGGCAGCCCCCUGGGUCAAUACUGACGCUCAUGCACGAAAGCGUGGGGAGCAAACAGG